AGGGGAUGGAAGCUCUUCCAUAGUGAUCCUUGGCUAUAAAUAGUAAUGUUUACAAGAUCCACCUUGAUCUAUUUUUUCAUUCCCUUAUCUACUCCAUUGGCAUUAUUUGGCCCAUGCUAAUAUUUUCAGGCUCAGCAGGCCUGUUAUUCCUAGCCACAUUCCAUCAAGUGACUCUCUGUAUUCAAUAAACUAAUAGACGUGUCACCUCUUCCUCCAUUUCUGAUGAGAUUAAUUGGAAUAUUUCCUGAUUGUAGUAGGUUAUUAGUGGGCAAAGAAAUGUCUGGCAGUCCUCACCAAAGGAAUCUCUGGAAGCUCAAUGGCAACUGUCUUCACAGUAAACAGCAGGAUUUUUAGACUGCUUUCUUCAAAUUCAGUAUGAAAAUACUGUUGUUCCAGCACCAACCGCAGAAUCAAGGCAGCGAGGACCCUGGGAUCAUGGCUGCUUCCUAAU
Molecule: long non-coding RNA, 451 nt
Organism: Amblyraja radiata (thorny skate)
Lineage: Eukaryota; Metazoa; Chordata; Chondrichthyes; Rajiformes; Rajidae
Exons: 3
Source: RefSeq, a predicted model, not a curated record